GGUGAGGGAACCGACCGCUGCGAUGGGGAGAUUUUCCUCAACUGCGAAGAAGGUUUGCCUCCGCGGUUCUUAGUGCGUCUGGGGGUCUAGGCGGCGCCGUUCGAGGCGGCGGCCAUGCGCAAGCCGCGGUAGAGGAUGUUCGGGUCUCCGAGGCGUUUGCGUAGCUCUCGUUCUAGGCCCGCUAUCGGGUGCAGGUUCUGCGGUGCACGCGGAUCCUUGUGUGCCU
RNAcentral lists this unclassified non-coding RNA (226 nucleotides) under plant metagenome. RNAcentral's name for it is "partial contains 5.8S ribosomal RNA, internal transcribed spacer 2, and large subunit ribosomal RNA". The record is from RNAcentral.